This 73-nucleotide transfer RNA is filed under the name Bacteroidales bacterium. Its description in RNAcentral is "tRNA-Thr". It matches the Rfam family "tRNA". From Rfam's summary of the family: Transfer RNA (tRNA) molecules are approximately 80 nucleotides in length. Lineage: Bacteria; Pseudomonadati; Bacteroidota; Bacteroidia; Bacteroidales. The record is from RNAcentral.
GCCUCUUUAGCUCAAAUGGUAGAGCAUCUGUUUUGUAAACAGAGGGUUGCUGGUUCGAUUCCAGUUGGAGGCU